Spea bombifrons (plains spadefoot toad) is the source of this 365-nucleotide long non-coding RNA. RefSeq lists it as uncharacterized. The transcript is spliced from 4 exons. The record is from RefSeq and is a predicted model, not a curated record. NCBI's taxonomy places the organism in Eukaryota, Metazoa, Chordata, Amphibia, Anura, Pelobatidae.
CAAUAAAUGACGACUAAGAAGGUUUGAAUUGCUGGCGGGUACGGCGUUUCGAAGUCCCCGACUGACUCGUAAAAAGGAAGCAUGCUAUCCCCAAAAAAGCAUGUGUCUACUGAAAACCAGAUGCCGUCUGUAAAUACUGUGCAUCGUAAAUCUGUUGGACGAACUCCCCUACAGGAUCUCACAACUCAACAAAUUGGUCUUUCUGACCGAAGAAUCACAAGAUCUGCUUCUGCCAAACCUUUGUGCCUUACUCCUACAAGCAACCCGCUAUUAAAGGACACUUCCAAUUGUAACACAGAUACACCUGUACGUGUGUGGGUUGACCGCUACCCUAAAGUUGUAUUGACAGACUGUUUGGCAAACAG